RNAcentral lists this ribosomal RNA (253 nucleotides) under uncultured bacterium. Its description in RNAcentral is "partial 16S ribosomal RNA". It matches the Rfam family "Bacterial small subunit ribosomal RNA", at positions 524 to 776 of the family's 1533-position model. The record is from RNAcentral.
UACGUAGGUGGCAAGCGUUGUCCGGAUUUAUUGGGUUUAAAGGGUGCGUAGGCGGCUUUGUAAGUCAGUGGUGAAAUAUGGCGGCUCAACUGUCAGGGUGCCAUUGAUACUGCGGAGCUUGAGUACAGAUGAGGUAGGCGGAAUUGACGGUGUAGCGGUGAAAUGCUUAGAUAUCGUCAAGAACACCGAUAGCGAAGGCAGCUUACUGGGCUGUAACUGACGCUGAGGCACGAAAGUGUGGGGAUCAAACAGG